AUGCCUUUCCCAAAACCAAUGAUUGGAUUUAACCUGCCCAAUUAUACCACUCAUAAAUUAGAAAGAACGAUUCUUAAACAAGAUAUUGGACCAUCUUUUUUCUACUAUGAAAAUGUCGCCCAAGCUCCCAGAGGUGUAUGGACGACCAUUUCAAGAUCUCUGUAUAACAUUCUACCUAAGUUUGUGGAUUCUAAGCAUUUGUGUUCAACGGCAAGGAAAAGAGGCUACAUCCAUAAUUUGCCAAAUUAG
This 249-nucleotide ribosomal RNA is filed under the name Triticum aestivum (bread wheat). RNAcentral describes it as "partial small subunit ribosomal RNA". The record is from RNAcentral. Lineage: Eukaryota; Viridiplantae; Streptophyta; Magnoliopsida; Poales; Poaceae.